This is a non-coding RNA of Danio rerio (zebrafish), 1125 nucleotides long. The record is from Ensembl. Lineage: Eukaryota; Metazoa; Chordata; Actinopteri; Cypriniformes; Danionidae.
UUUUUCCCCUGUACAAGGACUGCAUUUGUUGGCAUGAGAGAUAAAGAGAAUGGCUUGAAGCUAAAGGAGAGAUUUACUGAAGAAUGCACUGAAGUGGAUUUCAAAUGAAGAGUUCUACUGUCUGCAAAAUAUGAAGACGCGGUCAGUGUAAUAGUGUUGGGCAGUUGCCAGCUGUCUGGGUCAGACACGUUUUAGACUCGAGCUGCUGUCUGGAAGAAGCCGCUUUAUACUCAUGAAUGUUCGUCUGCACAGUUGCCGCUUCAGCUUCUGCUGGCAAGCAAAUGGAUAGUUCGGCACAAGUUCCUAAUAUAGAUCUGCUGCUCUGGAAUAACAUGAAGGGAGUCGUUAUGGAUUCUUGCCCUGCUCAUGGCUGACAAAGAUGCAGGCUUGAGUCCUUCCUUGAGACUUCACCUUUAGGAAGACUUCUAAACCUGGAAUUAACUGUGGACUUGGGAUUCUAGUGUAUCGAGGAUGCUUGUCACGGGUGUGUUAUGGUGCGAAGCUGGAUUGACCGUAUCGCUUUAAUCCACUUGUAGCCUCCCCCUACCCCCACCCCAUGUCAGAUCUUCCCUAAAUUAUGGAAAUUUUUUGGAAGACGCUGACUUGGAUAUUUAGCCUGGUUUUGGCCGCUGCUGAAGCUCAGAUCCUUUCGUACAACUCUCAAGGUAAGCUUAAUAAUGUGUGGAUAAGAACAGAAAGAUGACUGUUGCUGUAACAGCUGAUGUCAUAGCAGUUCUAAAAAUUCAACAAGCCAUAACUCAUUUUGGCUCACACUGAUGUCAUUAAGACACUUUCAACUCUACCCAGAGGAAACUUUCAUUGCUCAGUAAUGCUUCAUGCAAGCUUGUUUUCUAAAAGUCUUUUAUAAAGAAAUUUAAGCUGAGAAACAAAUGAAAAUUUUGUUGACCUCCAUAAAUGAAGGUUAAGUCUGGGUCACUAGGUAAACUGAAUUCUGGUUAUCUUGUGUCAAGUUUUAGACUGCUCUUUACCUGAGUUAACAGUUAAUCCUAGGAAUUCAUACCCUUACGUUUCACUUUCUGUAAUUUUUAACCCUUGGUUAAUGUCCUUCAAUGCGUAUUUGCAAUGUCAGCAACACUGAUUGGAUGAACACAGCAGGCAACUUGU